UCUAAAAUAAUCACAUUGCGGUAUCUCUCUCUCCUCAAUUUUCACUACUUCGUUAUCCGUCUUAGUGGAACUAAAGUUACACACUAUAUACUCCAUCUUCGUUCUACUUAUCUUAAACCCUUUUGAUUCCAAGGUUGAUCUUCAUAAUUCCAACUUGGCAUCUAUCCCUGCUUUUGUUUCGUCCACCGAAACAAUAUCAUCAGCAAAAAGCAUACACCAAAGGAUCUUAUCUUGAAUGUAUCCAGUCAACUCAUCUAUGAUUAGCACAAACAAAUAUAGGCUUAAAGCUGAUCCUUGAUGUAAUUCAAUUGUAAU
Long non-coding RNA from Telopea speciosissima, 315 nucleotides. RefSeq lists it as uncharacterized. The transcript has 2 exons. Lineage: Eukaryota; Viridiplantae; Streptophyta; Magnoliopsida; Proteales; Proteaceae. The record is from RefSeq and is a predicted model, not a curated record.